This 2916-nucleotide ribosomal RNA is filed under the name Klebsiella pneumoniae. Its description in RNAcentral is "bacterial LSU rRNA". It matches the Rfam family "Bacterial large subunit ribosomal RNA". RNAcentral also lists the same sequence under 1 other name. Lineage: Bacteria; Pseudomonadati; Pseudomonadota; Gammaproteobacteria; Enterobacterales; Enterobacteriaceae. The record is from RNAcentral.
UUAAGCGACUAAGCGUACACGGUGGAUGCCCUGGCAGUCAGAGGCGAUGAAGGACGUGCUAAUCUGCGAAAAGCGUCGGUAAGGUGAUAUGAACCGUUAUAGCCGGCGAUGUCCGAAUGGGGAAACCCAGUGCAAUUCGUUGCACUAUCGUUAACUGAAUACAUAGGUUAACGAGGCGAACCGGGGGAACUGAAACAUCUAAGUACCCCGAGGAAAAGAAAUCAACCGAGAUUCCCCCAGUAGCGGCGAGCGAACGGGGAGCAGCCCGGAGUCUGAAUCAGCUUGUGUGUUUAGUGGAAGCGUCUGGAAAGUCGCAGGGUACAGGGUGAUACUCCCGUACACUAAAACACACAGGUUGUGAACUCGAAGAGUAGGGCGGGACACGUGGUAUCCUGUCUGAAUAUGGGGGGACCAUCCUCCAAGGCUAAAUACUCCUGACUGACCGAUAGUGAACCAGUACCGUGAGGGAAAGGCGAAAAGAACCCCGGCGAGGGGAGUGAAAAAGAACCUGAAACCGUGUACGUACAAGCAGUAGGAGCCCACUAGUUGGGUGACUGCGUACCUUUUGUAUAAUGGGUCAGCGACUUAUAUUCUGUAGCAAGGUUAACCGUAUAGGGGAGCCGCAGGGAAACCGAGUCUUAACUGGGCGUUAAGUUGCAGGGUAUAGACCCGAAACCCGGUGAUCUAGCCAUGGGCAGGUUGAAGGUUGGGUAACACUAACUGGAGGACCGAACCGACUAAUGUUGAAAAAUUAGCGGAUGACUUGUGGCUGGGGGUGAAAGGCCAAUCAAACCGGGAGAUAGCUGGUUCUCCCCGAAAGCUAUUUAGGUAGCGCCUCGUGAACUCAUCUUCGGGGGUAGAGCACUGUUUCGGCUAGGGGGUCAUCCCGACUUACCAACCCGAUGCAAACUACGAAUACCGAAGAAUGUCUAUCACGGGAGACACACGGCGGGUGCUAACGUCCGUCGUGAAGAGGGAAACAACCCAGACCGCCAGCUAAGGUCCCAAAAGUCAUGGUUAAGUGGGAAACGAUGUGGGAAGGCCCAGACAGCCAGGAUGUUGGCUUAGAAGCAGCCAUCAUUUAAAGAAAGCGUAAUAGCUCACUGGUCGAGUCGGCCUGCGCGGAAGGAUGUAACGGGGCUAAACCAUGCACCGAAGCUGCGGCAGCGACACUAUGUGUUGUUGGGGUAGGGGAGCGUUCUGUAAGCCGUUGAAGGGUGGCCUGUGAGGGUUGCUGGAGGUAUCAGAAGUGCGAAUGCUGACAUAAGUAACGAUAAUGCGGGGUGAAAAACCCGCACGCCGGAAGACCAAGGGUUCCUGUCCAACGUUAAUCGGGGCAGGGUGAGUCGACCCCUAAGGCGAGGCCGAAAGGCGUAGUCGAUGGGAAACAGGUUAAUAUUCCUGUACUCGGUGUUACUGCGAAGGGGGGGACGGAGAAGGCUAUGUUGGCCGGGCGACGGUUGUCCCGGUUUAAGCAUGUAGGCGGAUGUUCCAGGUAAAUCCGGAACGUCACUUAACGCUGAGGUGUGAUGACGAGGCACUACGGUGCUGGAAGUGACAAAUGCCCUGCUUCCAGGAAAAGCCUCUAAGCAUCAGGUAACAUCAAAUCGUACCCCAAACCGACACAGGUGGUCAGGUAGAGAAUACCAAGGCGCUUGAGAGAACUCGGGUGAAGGAACUAGGCCAAAAUGGUGCCGUAACUUCGGGAGAAGGCACGCUGAUGGUAGGUGAAGUGACUUGCUCAUGGAGCUGAAAUCAGUCGAAGAUACCAGCUGGCUGCAAACUGUUUAUUAAAAACACCAGCACUGUGCAAACACGAAAGUGGACGUAUACGGUGUGACGCCUGCCCGGUGCCGGAAGGUUAAUUGAUGGGGUUAUCCGUAAGGAGAAGCUCUUGAUCGAAGCCCCGGUAAACGGCGGCCGUAACUAUAACGGUCCUAAGGUAGCGAAAUUCCUUGUCGGGUAAGUUCCGACCUGCACGAAUGGCGUAAUGAUGGCCAGGCUGUCUCCACCCGAGACUCAGUGAAAUUGAACUCGCUGUGAAGAUGCAGUGUACCCGCGGCAAGACGGAAAGACCCCGUGAACCUUUACUAUAGCUUGACACUGAACACUGGUCCUUGAUGUGUAGGAUAGGUGGGAGGCUUUGAAGUGUGGACGCCAGUCUGCAUGGAGCCAUCCUUGAAAUACCACCCUUUAAUGGCUGGUGUUCUAACGUGGGCCCCUAAUCGGGGUUGCGGACAGUGUCUGGUGGGUAGUUUGACUGGGGCGGUCUCCUCCUAAAGAGUAACGGAGGAGCACGAAGGUCAGCUAAUCCUGGUCGGACAUCAGGAGGUUAGUGCAAUGGCAUAAGCUGGCUUGACUGCGAGCGUGACGGCGCGAGCAGGUGCGAAAGCAGGUCAUAGUGAUCCGGUGGUUCUGAAUGGAAGGGCCAUCGCUCAACGGAUAAAAGGUACUCCGGGGAUAACAGGCUGAUACCGCCCAAGAGUUCAUAUCGACGGCGGUGUUUGGCACCUCGAUGUCGGUCAUCACAUCCUGGGGCUGAAGUAGGUCCCAAGGGUAUGGCUGUUCGCCAUUUAAAGUGGUACGCGAGCUGGGUUUAGAACGUCGUGAGACAGUUCGGUCCCUAUCUGCCGUGGGCGCUGGAGAAUUGAGGGGGGCUGCUCCUAGUACGAGAGGACCGGAGUGGACGCAUCACUGGUGUUCGGGUUGUCAUGCCAAUGGCAUUGCCCGGUAGCUAAAUGCGGAAGAGAUAAGUGCUGAAAGCAUCUAAGCACGAAACUUGCCCCGAGAUGAGUUCUCCCUGACUCCUUGAGAGUCCUGAAGGAACGUUGAAGACGACGACGUUGAUAGGCCGGGUGUGUAAGCGCAGCGAUGCGUUGAGCUAACCGGUACUAAUGAACCGUGAGGCUUAACCUU